CCAGACUCCUACGGGAGGCAGCAGUGGGGAAUAUUGCGCAAUGGGGGAAACCCUGACGCAGCAACGCCGCGUGAGUGAGGAAGUAUCUCGGUAUGUAAAGCUCUAUCAGCGGGGAAGAAGGAAGACGGUACCCGACUAAGAAGCCCCGGCUAACUACGUGCCGGCAGCCGCGGUAAUACGUAGGGGGCAAGCGUUAUCCGGAAUUACUGGGUGUAAAGGGAGCGCAGACGGCAGUGCAAGUCUGGAGUGAAAGCCCGUGGCUUAACCACGGGACUGCUCUGGAAACUGUGCAGCUAGAGUGCAGGAGAGGCAGGCGGAAUUCCUAGUGUAGCGGUGAAAUGCGUAGAUAUUAGGAGGAACACCGGUGGCGAAGGCGGCCUGCUGGACUGUAACUGACGUUGAGGCUCGAAAGCGUGGGGAGCAAACAGGAUUAGAUACCCCCGUA
RNAcentral lists this ribosomal RNA (445 nucleotides) under uncultured bacterium. RNAcentral describes it as "bacterial SSU rRNA". It matches the Rfam family "Bacterial small subunit ribosomal RNA", at positions 331 to 792 of the family's 1533-position model. The record is from RNAcentral.